AUUGAACGCUGGCGGCAGGCCUAACACAUGCAAGUAGAACGAGUGGCGGGCGGGUGAGUAAUGUCUGUGACACUGCCCGAUGGAGGGGGAUAACUACUGGAAACGGUAGCUAAUACCGCAUACCAUCGAAUGUGCCCCGAUGGGAUUAGCUAGUAGGUGGGGUAACGGCUCACAUAGGCGCCGAUCCCUCGCUGGUCUGAGAGGAUGACCAGCCACACUGGAACUGAGACACGGUCUAGACUCCUACGGGAGGCAGCAGUGGGGAAUAUGGCACAAGGGGCGCAAGCCUGAUGCAGCCAUGCCGAGUGUAUGAAGAAGGCCUUCGGGUUGUAAAGUACUUUCAGCGAGGAGGCGUGACUCGCAGAAGAAGCACCGGCUAACUCCGAGCCAGCAGCCGCGGUAAUAC
RNAcentral lists this ribosomal RNA (406 nucleotides) under uncultured bacterium. RNAcentral's name for it is "partial 16S ribosomal RNA". It matches the Rfam family "Bacterial small subunit ribosomal RNA", at positions 30 to 526 of the family's 1533-position model. The record is from RNAcentral.